RNAcentral lists this ribosomal RNA (331 nucleotides) under uncultured eukaryote. Its description in RNAcentral is "partial 18S ribosomal RNA". It matches the Rfam family "Eukaryotic small subunit ribosomal RNA", at positions 1470 to 1796 of the family's 1831-position model. The record is from RNAcentral.
CCCCUAGACGUUCUGGGCUGCACGCGCGCUACAAUAAUACGCACAGCGAGUAUCACCGAGCUCGAAAGGGCAAGGUAAACAAUAGAAAAGGUACUGUAAUGGUUAUAGAUCCUUGUAAUUAUUGAUCUUCAACGAGGAAUUCCUAGUAAGUAUGUGUCAUCAUCACGCACUGAUUACGUCCCUGCCCUUUGUACACACCGCCCGUCGCUACUACCGAUUGAACGGUUUAGUGAGGGCCUCGGAUUGGUCUCGGCCCGCUCUUUACCGGGCGGCGCCGUUGGUCGAGAAGACGCUCGAACUUGAUCGUUUAGAGGAAGUAAAAGUCGUAACA